AGUGGGCUGAGCCUUGGGAGCCUGUGUGCCAUGCUAACUUCUUCCCAGGGGACAGAGCAGCCUGACACCACCUUCCAUGACAACUUCUCUUGCCACCUCUACAUCAGCUCUCUGUAUCUGCAGACUUCUGGCUUUGAAACACAUCUCAAUUGCACCAAAGCACUGAGCACAUCCUGCUCCAGGCCCUUUGCUUUGUCAUGCUGAGCAGCACAUCUGACACCAGCUGAAAACAUCUGGAAUGGUUCUGAUAGGAGCAGAGCCAGCUGCCUUUUCAUAGUUCUCUGGGACUGAGAGAUAUAUAUCAGAUGUGAGUGUCUCUCCUCACUAAUAAUAUGUUAUCUGAAUAAAUAACUGGUGGUGGCUUA
Cyanistes caeruleus (blue tit) is the source of this 365-nucleotide non-coding RNA. NCBI's taxonomy places the organism in Eukaryota, Metazoa, Chordata, Aves, Passeriformes, Paridae. The record is from RefSeq and is a predicted model, not a curated record.